AUGCUCUCUCCCAUACAUGCAUACUCACUCCCACAUGCAUAAGGGGCCUGAAAACUAGCCUAAACCCCAACACAAACAACAAGAGAGCAUGCAUUUAUCAUCAAGCACAACAUAACCCUAACAUUUUAGAUCUAACCAAAACAUGCAUCAAUACCCCUUAACCCUUCAUAAAACUUAAUUAAAACAUAAGAAAAAUCAAGGAUCUACACUUACCUCUUGAAGAUCAAGGGUAGAUGCGACCCAAACUUGGAGAUGAGGAGGAAAUGAGCUCCGGAGGUCUCCAAGCUUCAAAACUUUGGAUUAAGCUUAAAAUAUUCAAAAAC
This 323-nucleotide long non-coding RNA is filed under the name Manihot esculenta (cassava). Its description in RNAcentral is "long non-coding RNA (MESC_LNC000329)". The record is from RNAcentral. Lineage: Eukaryota; Viridiplantae; Streptophyta; Magnoliopsida; Malpighiales; Euphorbiaceae.